This 553-nucleotide ribosomal RNA is filed under the name Arthrinium sp. FS19. Its description in RNAcentral is "eukaryotic LSU rRNA". The stretch from base 184 to 337 matches the Rfam family "5.8S ribosomal RNA". Lineage: Eukaryota; Fungi; Ascomycota; Sordariomycetes; Amphisphaeriales; Apiosporaceae. The record is from RNAcentral.
GGGGGCUUUUAGUUUCACUCCCAUACCUCUGUUACCUACCCAGUUAUGCCUCGGCGUAAGCUCGGUUGGAGGCACCUGCAGCUACCCUGUAGUUGCGGACUGCCAACUCCAGCCGCGGCCCGCCGGCGGUACACUAAACUCUGUUUUAUUUUAUAUUCUGAGCGUCUUAUUUUAAUAAGUUAAAACUUUCAACAACGGAUCUCUUGGUUCUGGCAUCGAUGAAGAACGCAGCGAAAUGCGAUAAGUAAUGUGAAUUGCAGAAUUCAGUGAAUCAUCGAAUCUUUGAACGCACAUUGCGCCCAUCAGUAUUCUGGUGGGCAUGCCUGUUCGAGCGUCAUUUCAACCCUUAAGCCUAGCUUAGUGUUGGGAAUCUGCUGUACUGCAGUUCCUUAAAGACAGUGGCGGAGCGGCGGUAGUCCUCUGAGCGUAGUAAUUUAUUUCUCGCUUUUGUCAGGCUCUGUCCUCCCGCCAUAAAACCCCCAAUUUUUUAGUGGUUGACCUCGGAUCAGGUAGGAAUACCCGCUGAACUUAAGCAUAUCAAUAAGCGGAGGAA